GAAACUGUAACUAAAUAGGAAUGGCUGAGUAACUGCGAGUGAAAGGCUAUGUUGUCAAAUUCGAAUUCUUCGGAAGUUGUGAUUGCUUCAUUUACAUUCUAAAGUCGGAACGGUAAAUUUUCUGGAAAGGAAUACUACAACCGGUGAUAGUCCGGGGUCUGUUUUGAUUUGGAUUGUUCUAGUGCAAGAGUCGUGUUGUGUGUGAUCGCAAUGCAAAUCUGGAGGUGUUACACUCCAAAAUAAAAUUGUCAGUGUGGAACCGAUAGAGAACAAGUACCAUGAGGGAAAGUUGAAAAGCACUUUGGAAAGAGAGUGAAAAGUACGUUCAAACCGUUCGGAGAAAAGGAGAAAAGUGUUACGAUGACUUAAUCUUUUUUACAAAGGCCUUGUCAAAUGCAAUACUGGCCAACGUUGUAGCUGAUGUGAAUUCACUCGGCGCAAUAUGAGCUUAUUAUUGGGUUAUAUCAGCAUUUUCUCACCCGUCUUGAAACACGGACCAAGGAGUUCGAGUGAUUAGCAAGGUAUACAUUCAAAGCAUGUAAUACUGGAAAGAAAUUAAAGUAAUAUGCACAUUCAUUGUACCGUUAACUCGUAUGAACUAAACGGUGGGCAGUUCUUCGGAGCUGAUUCGGAGCUAGUCGCUCGAGACCCGAAAGAUGGUGAUCUAUGCCAAGACAGAAUGAAGCCACGGGAAACCAUGGUGGAAGUUCGAAGCGGUUCUGACGUGCAAAUCGAUCGUGUGAUCUCGGUAUAGGGGCGAAAGACUAAUCGAACCAUCUGGUAGCUGGUUUCCUCUGAAGUUUCCCUCAGGAUAGCAGACAUUCGUUUGUACAGUUUUAUCGGUUAGAGCAAAUGAUUAGAGGUAUGGGAGAUUUUGUAUUUUUCACCUAUUCUCAAACUUCGAAUCGGUAAUGGAUAGAAGUGCUGUAAUAAUACUUUUAUUCAAAUGUGAUUGUCUAGUGGGCCUAUUUUGGUAAGCAGAACUGGCGAUGUGGGAUGAACCAAUAGCUUUAUUUAGGUGUCUAAUAUGAGCUCAUGAGCAACCAUGAAAGGUGUUGAUCGAUAUAGACAGCAGGACAGUGGCCAUGGAAGUCGGAAUCUGCAAAGGAGUGUGUAACAACUCACCUGCCGAAUCAAUCAGCCCUGAAAAAGGAUGGCGCUUGAGCUCGUAACCCAGAUUUGGCUGUGAUAAGCAGUUCAUGUUUAUGAAGUGUUUACUUAUUGCAAGUAAGAGGACAAGAAGGUUGCUUAGAUCCGUGUAUGCAAAUAUGCGGGGAGCAGCAUUCUGUGCUGAUCUUGGUGGUAGUAGCAAUUUUUCAAGUGAGAUCCUUGAGAGCUUAAGUGGAGAUUGGAUUCCAUGUGAACAGUGGUUGUACGUGGGUAAAUCGCUCCUAAGCAUGAUGCGAAGGCAUUAACAGUGACUUUGUCUGAUUGCGAAAGGGAAUUGUGUUAAAAUUCUCAAAUCUCGGUCUAAGCACCUUAUGGCGACAUACCUGGUUUCGGAUACUAUCCCAUGUUGUUGAAUGAGAGUUUUCUUUUCUUUUUGACACAAUAAAUGACCGUGGAAAGGUAUUGGGCCACGAAACGGUCACUAUUUUGGCAGAAAAUGGCAGCAUUUGCUAUCUUCCAUGCAUCAAUGGGGUACCAUGAAAAUCCGUGACUGUUGUAAUGAUCGAGGGCGUACCAAUAACCGCAUCAGGUUCCCAAGGUGAGUAGCCUUUGGCUUGGAACAGUGUAGGUAAGGGAAGUCGGCAUAGUGGAUUCGGACCUUUGGUAUAAGGAUUGGCUCUGACGGCUGGGUUGUGGAAACCAGUAGCUCUGUCAUUGACGUGGUCUGCAGUGGGAUGCUCGUCGUCCUGCGGGUGAUCUAGUUGGUGAUUGGAGUAUGUGGUAUUUCAUAGCGUUCUACAGUCAAACUCAGAACUGACACUGACACGGGGAUUCCGACUGUCUAAUUAAAACAAAGCAUUGCAAUGGCAAGUGACUGAGUGAUGACGCAAUGUGAUUUCUGCCCAGUGCUCAGAAUGUCAAAGUGAAGAACUUCAAACAAGCGCGGGUAAACGGCGGGAGUAACUAUGACUCUCUUAAGGUAGCCAAAUGCCUCGUCAUCUAAUUAGUGACGCGCAUGAAUGGAUCAACGAGAUUCCUCCUGUCCCUAUCUACCAUCCAGUGAAACCACAGCUAGGGGAACGGGCCUAGUGUAAUCGGCGGGGAAAGAAGACCCUGUUGAGCUUGACUCUAGUUUGACAUUGUGAAGUGACUCGUGAAGUGUAGCAUAGGUGGGAGCGCUAAGCAAAUUUGAAAUACCACUAUUCGCGGUGUCAUUUUACUUAUCUGAUAAUGGUGUUGUUCAGCCUUCAUUCAUUCAAUAAUCUUUGUUUUUUCAAAGCUUUAUAUUCAGUAAAGAUGUCAGGUGGGGAGUUUGACUGGGGCGGUACAUCUGUAAAAAGAUAACGCAGGUGUCCUAAGGUUGACUCGGAGUGGACGGAAACCUCUCUGAGAGCAUAAAGGCAAAUGUCAGCUUGAUCUGUUUUUACAGUAUGAUUACAGACUGCGAAAGCGUGGCCUAACGAUCCUUUUGAUUUUAGUGUAUUUAAGCAAGAGGUGUCAGAAAAGUUACCACAGGGAUAACUGGCUCGUGGCAGCCAAGCGUUCAUAGCGACGUUGCUUUUUGAUCCUUGGAUGUCGGCUCUUCCUAUCAUUGCGAAGCAGAAUUCGCAAAGUGUUGGAUUGUUCACCCACUAACAGGGAACGUGAGCUGGGUUUAGACCGUCGUGAGACAGGUUAGUUUUACCCUACUGAUUGUCCAUCUAGUGACGUGCCUGAGAAUAGCAUUUUCAUUUAGUACGAGAGGAACUGUGGAUACUCGCCUCUGGUUCAACAGCUGUCAGAAAUGCAAGU
This 2901-nucleotide ribosomal RNA is filed under the name Aphanostoma nicki. RNAcentral describes it as "partial 28S ribosomal RNA". It matches the Rfam family "Eukaryotic large subunit ribosomal RNA", at positions 55 to 3089 of the family's 3401-position model. The record is from RNAcentral. Lineage: Eukaryota; Metazoa; Xenacoelomorpha; Acoela; Convolutidae.